Molecule: long non-coding RNA, 534 nt
Filed under: Phoenix dactylifera (date palm)
Lineage: Eukaryota; Viridiplantae; Streptophyta; Magnoliopsida; Arecales; Arecaceae
Description: long non-coding RNA (PDAC_LNC013653)
Source: RNAcentral
UUUAAUAAUAAAUUUUUUUAAUAAGUAUAAAAUAUUUAAAAAAAUGAUAUGAAAAUGGAUAGUUAUCAAGUACACUAUUUCAACAAAGAUACAUGAAUCUAACAAAGAUAGGCAAAAAACCUUUUUAAUUUAAUAUUAUUUUUGAAUGGAAGUGUAGAAAAGUAAUUAUCCUAAAAGAAGGGCCAUAAAAUUGAUUAAAUAACUGAGAUAAUGCUUGGCAAUAUUGUUUAUCAUGUCAAGCAAGAGCAGAAUAGGAAAAGGUCAUCCCAUGGCACUCCAUGGUCAAGUAAAGAAAAGAAUUUAUCCAGGAAGGAGCAUCUCGAUAAGAGAAAGUAGGGGCAUUAUGGGAAAUUGACUCCAUCUAAUUAAUAAAAGUCCCAUCCCACCAUCUCCCCUUCAAGUGAGUACCCAAGCAGCAACCGCAACAUCACAGCACAGCAGCCAUUCAACCCCCUCCCUCCUUCUCUCUCUACCACCCAAGAGGGGAGAAGAAACCGAGAGGAGAAAAUUAAAAGAAUCUCCACCCUCCAAGAA